GGCAGUGUAGUGUAAUGGGUAAGGAACUGGGCUUGUAACCCAAAGGUCAUAGGUUUGAUUCCAGGACACUGCCG
This 74-nucleotide transfer RNA is filed under the name Anguilla anguilla (European eel). Its description in RNAcentral is "tRNA-OTHER". It matches the Rfam family "tRNA". From Rfam's summary of the family: Transfer RNA (tRNA) molecules are approximately 80 nucleotides in length. Their secondary structure includes four short double-helical elements and three loops (D, anti-codon, and T loops). Lineage: Eukaryota; Metazoa; Chordata; Actinopteri; Anguilliformes; Anguillidae. The record is from RNAcentral.